GAGUGUAGCUCAAUGGUAGAGCAUCUGCCUUCCAAGCUGAUGACGCGGGUUCGAUUCCCGUCACUC
This 66-nucleotide transfer RNA is filed under the name human gut metagenome. It matches the Rfam family "tRNA". From Rfam's summary of the family: Transfer RNA (tRNA) molecules are approximately 80 nucleotides in length. Their secondary structure includes four short double-helical elements and three loops (D, anti-codon, and T loops). The record is from RNAcentral. RNAcentral also lists the same sequence under 1 other name.